RNAcentral lists this long non-coding RNA (1192 nucleotides) under Phasianus colchicus (ring-necked pheasant). RNAcentral's name for it is "lncRNA (ENSPCLG00000016268.1)". Lineage: Eukaryota; Metazoa; Chordata; Aves; Galliformes; Phasianidae. The record is from RNAcentral.
CAACCUUUGACGCCUGAUUUAUUUACGAGAAGGGGACCACACAGUCACCGUUCAUGUCGCUUUGUUGUGAAGGUGUACGUAGGAGGAAAGAGUAAAAAAUUGUUUUUAGAACAUUGAAACUGGCCUGCUACUGAACCUGAAUGAAGCAUCACAUCAAUAUAUAGGUUGUGCACAGUCCAGAAGAAAAAGUUACUUCCUCUCUGUGCAGGUGUUUGUGCAAUACUUCAUGCUUAGCUACAAAGAUGAACAAAAGUUAUGAGCUGCUAAAAAGGGAUUUGCUGUUGAAAGUUAGAGUUUGGACUUUUUGCUGUCAGGUGAGAAAGUCUGGUUGCCCAGGAAACCUGGUGAAUGCUGUGUACACACUGGUGGAGAUAGUCCUGAUCUAGUUGUUCUGGCAUGUAUGUGAGCAGUCAGUUAUGCAAAUGAGGCAUUCCAAGAAUAAGUGAUUAAUUUGGCAGCAUUCGUAUGAUGAGUCUCAGUGAGGGAAAGCUGACAUCAUAAUGUUGGAAAUGCUUUAUUUAAUCAUGAUGAAUCUUGGGUAAGUAUUUUCUAGUUUACUAACUUAAAUGCAUUACGAAAGUAAUACGAUGUUACAGAAAAGUUCAUCUGUGCAAAGCUAAAGGUAAUCUGUGCAAAGCUUUAGCUCAUUCUCUGUAAUGUAAGUUGUUAACAAGGCUGGAAGAGUUUUAUCUGCAUUUCUGAAAAGAGACAAAUUCUACCACUUUUUCAUAUAGCAUAAAGGAAGAUGAAUUGUUAACCACCAGUGAAGUUUGACAGAUAAAUAUCCUCUUAAAAGUGAAAAAAUAGCACUGAUGGUAUCUUCUUUCUCUUCACAGCUACACACUGUCUAUAGUUGUGCUUUAUUCAUUUGUUUUUAUUACAGUGUGGAUGUGCUUUACCUAUAUACUGUACAACCAUGCUACAUCUUGAUUUAAAACUGUGUAUCAUUAUUUCUUUUCAUCUGGGGUUUGAUAUUCUUAAUAUUGCCAUAUUACCAUGGAAUAUGGUUUGAGAGGAAGGAUGAAAGCUGUUUUAUGAAAAUCUCUAGUCUCAAAAUAAUCUCUGGAGUGCAGACUGACAUCUCAUUGCCAUCCCUUUGUGUCCUAACAGCUACUAGCAAUUUCAGAUUAAAGUUCAAUUCAAAACCUGGUCACUAAAAUAAAGAGUUAACAUUUUGUUGAAAAUUUAGUCA